UUUUGCGGCAGCCCUGCUGGGGGAUGAGGACAACAGUACCUCUCUCGUUAGCUUUUGAAAUACUCACAUUCAAAAGAACAGGUCGCGUGGGGGGUCGGCAGAGCAGGUGAGCUGCAGCCUUGAAAUCACUGUAACUUCGUGCGGGGGGGUUGGGGGGCGGGGGGAGCCUGGGCACAACCUCGCCAUCGUCAGGAGCAACCGCGCAGUGGGAUAAACUUUGGCUGCAGCUUUGCCGCACGAGAGGGGCGGGGUUACUUGAACGGGUCCUCAGGAGAAGGAGAUUGGCCCCGGGGGAAUCGAGGGGGCGGGACUAGCCCAUUGUUGCCAUUGGUCCUGAGGGCCAGUUGAGGGAUGGCAGCGAGGGGGCGGAGCCGGCCAGAGGAGGCAAUUGGUUUGGCGAGAGCCCACCGAGGGGAGCGGGCGGGCGGGCGAUUCCGCAGCCGGGAGCCGGGAGCCUGGGGCCGGGAAGCCGCGCCGCGGCCAGCCCGCUAGGGCCGCAGCGGGGCGAGGGGUGCACGGGGCGUUGGCACGGGGGCACGCGCGUGCGUCGCUGACUUGGAUGCGGCGGGGACGCUUGUGCGCGGGGUGCGCUCGACGCGAGCCAUUCAACAGCUGGCCUCGCGGGCCACAGUCGCAGGGAGCGACCGGGAGCGUUGGCGGUUGCGACUGCGGCGGCUGGAGAGAGGCGGCGGGAGUUCCGCCACCCCAGCGGGGACCCGAGUGGAGGCGCGGCGGCUCCUUAGACUCCCGGGUUCCCCCAUCGUACACUGGUGUGAAGAGAGUGGACCCUGACUGGAUUCGUGUCUCAUCUCCAGCAUCAGAAGGAAAGGUGAGGAGCUGAGAGCAGGGACUGUGAAGGUGGCGGUGUGGGGGAAGGGGAGAGGCUGUUUCUCUCUGUCACUGGCUCUGGCUCUGUGUGGCUCUUCCCGGCAUGCAUUUCUGCUGCUGCUCAAGAGGGGGACUUCUACAGAGUCGUUUCAGAGCCAGGGUUGUGUUACUUGUGCAACUCUCGGAUGUCGUGUCCGCUUGAG
This 1031-nucleotide long non-coding RNA is filed under the name Mustela putorius furo (domestic ferret). Its description in RNAcentral is "lncRNA (ENSMPUG00000030511.1)". The record is from RNAcentral. Lineage: Eukaryota; Metazoa; Chordata; Mammalia; Carnivora; Mustelidae.